GUGGGGAAUCUUGCGCAAUGGGCGAAAGCCUGACGCAGCCAUGCCGCGUGAAUGAUGAAGGUCUUAGGAUUGUAAAAUUCUUUCACCGGGGACGAUAAUGACGGUACCCGGAGAAGAAGCUCCGGCUAACUUCGUGCCAGCAGCCGCGGUAAUACGAAGGGGGCUAGCGUUGCUCGGAAUUACUGGGCGUAAAGGGCGCGUAGGCGGACAGCUUAGUCAGAGGUGAAAGCCCAGGGCUCAACCUUGGAAUUGCCUUUGAUACUGGCUGUCUUGAGUUUGGGAGAGGUGAGUGGAACUCCGAGUGCAGAGGUGAAAUUCGUAGAUAUUCGGAAGAACACCAGUGGCGAAGGCGACUCACUGGCCCAAUACUGACGCUGAGGCGCGAAAGCGUGGGGAGCAAACAGGAUUAGAAACCCUUGUAGUCC
This 425-nucleotide ribosomal RNA is filed under the name uncultured bacterium. RNAcentral's name for it is "partial 16S ribosomal RNA". It matches the Rfam family "Bacterial small subunit ribosomal RNA", at positions 354 to 796 of the family's 1533-position model. The record is from RNAcentral.